CAAGGAAUAGUUUAUUAAAAUUUUAAUUUUGGGGAUUAAAGAUAGGAGUUAUCCUUUCCUUGA
RNAcentral lists this transfer RNA (63 nucleotides) under Coleoptera sp. 23 KM-2017. RNAcentral's name for it is "tRNA-Pro". The record is from RNAcentral. Lineage: Eukaryota; Metazoa; Arthropoda; Insecta; Coleoptera.